UACGGAGGGUGCAAGCGUUGUCCGGAAUCACUGGGCGUAAAGGGCGCGUAGGCGGCUCGGUAAGUAGGGGGUGAAAUCCUGCGGCUUGACCGCAGGGCUGCCUUCUAAACUGUCGAGCUUGAGCACGGUAGAGGCAGAUGGAAUUCCCGGUGUAGCGGUGGAAUGCGUAGAGAUCGGGAAGAACAUCAGUGGCGAAGGCGGUCUGCUGGGCCGUUGCUGACGCUGAGGCGCGACAGCGUGGGGAGCAAACAGG
RNAcentral lists this ribosomal RNA (253 nucleotides) under uncultured bacterium. Its description in RNAcentral is "partial 16S ribosomal RNA". It matches the Rfam family "Bacterial small subunit ribosomal RNA", at positions 524 to 776 of the family's 1533-position model. The record is from RNAcentral.